This 446-nucleotide ribosomal RNA is filed under the name uncultured bacterium. RNAcentral's name for it is "partial 16S ribosomal RNA". It matches the Rfam family "Bacterial small subunit ribosomal RNA", at positions 338 to 795 of the family's 1533-position model. The record is from RNAcentral.
CCUACGGGUGGCAGCAGUCGAGAAUCAUUCACAAUGGGGGAAACCCUGAUGGUGCGACGCCGCGUGGGGGAAUGAAGGUCUUCGGAUUGUAAACCCCUGUCAUGUGGGAGCAAAUUAAAAAGAUAGUACCACAAGAGGAAGAGACGGCUAACUCUGUGCCAGCAGCAGCGGUAAUACAGAGGUCUCAAGCGUUGUUCGGAAUCACUGGGCGUAAAGCGUGCGUAGGCUGUUUCGUAAGUCAUGUGUGAAAGGCGCGGGCUCAACCAGCGGACGGCACAUGAUACUGCGAGACUAGAGUAAGGGAGGGGGAACCGGAAUUCUCGGUGUAGCAGUGAAAUGCGUAGAUAUCGAGAGGAACACUCGUGGCGAAGGCGGGUUCCUGGACAUUAACUGACGCUGAGGCACGAAGGCCAGGGGAGCGAAAGGGAUUAGAUACCCCAGUAGUC